Molecule: non-coding RNA, 3006 nt
Organism: Megalopta genalis
Lineage: Eukaryota; Metazoa; Arthropoda; Insecta; Hymenoptera; Halictidae
Source: RefSeq, a predicted model, not a curated record
UGGUUUGUAUUUAGAUGCUAACUUUUUGAAAUGUUUGGGUACUGGAAUUUAAAUGCUCGCGUAGCAGAGUAGAGUUUGACUUCGGUGAAUUGACUCAAGCACGACUCAACAAAAUAUGGAAACAGAUAUAGCGAUCGAAAGGAAUAAUAUGGAUGAAGUCCGUCGUGCAUCAACGAUCGAGGCAUUUAAAUGAACACUGUGAUCACCCAGAAAUAAAUCUACAAUAAAAAAAUUUAAUUUUCAGUAAUUAUUGCUUUAUCUUUAUACAUGUAACAUAGAUGGGUAGCUAAAACUUCUUCGAAUAAAAUGAGUCCAAACAUGGUGCAAAUUGUACUAUUUUUAUGAAUUUCAUGUAAAUAACAAAAUUAAGAUGUACGAAUGCUUAAGUUUAUAAACUUUUCUAGACGAAACUAGUCUGCUUUUUAAAUCGCGUUUGGUCUCAUUUUUAUUGGAAGGAUUUCCGACAAUUCACUAGUACCAUAUGUAGUAUCCAAAAUUGUUUGUUACCGUGUAUAGCGUGUACGAAAGACGGAAUUCAUCCGCAUCACCUGUAUUCUUGUUUAGCUCCUUGUCGAGGAGCGGGCGCUAGAAUGAGUACGUGUAUGUGCGUGAGGAUGGGAAACGAGCGCGACGAAUGUGCGAGUACGAGUAGUGUUGCCAGGAAAUGUAUGGCGCGAGUGGAAAUCUUGGUUUGCACAUUCUUUGAUCUCCACAUCUAUGAAAUAUGUUAAUAAGCGCUAUAUUCUAAGCAAUUUUUACCUUUGAACCAAAAACCUAUUUUAAUUUCUGGGAUAUAUGCAAAAAAACUGUUGCUACUACUAUGUCGAGUUAGCGGCGGCUACUUCCUAUACUUUACAUGAUUAUUUUUUGGUAACAUAUUCAUUAUUGUUAUUUUUAAUUAAAUCUUGCUUUAAACUGACAUGUACAAUUCAUUUUUCAUAUAAAUUUUAUAAAUUGUUCUGUAUUGAUAAGACCGCAUAAACAUAAAAUCUAAAAAUUAGAUUUUAAUUAAUUAUUACUUUUGUGUUAAGUUGCCCUUGAUUCGUUUAUCAUUUUUUAAUAAUUUUUUGUGAAUUAAUUGUAAAUUCUUUGUGUAAUUAUAUUUUUGUUUAUAAGUGUUAAAAAAUAGAUCCUACAACUUAUUCAUUAUUCAAAAGUACACAUAUAUAACACCUUAGCGUAUAAUAUUAAAAAUUUGGGCGUAAAUAUAUUAUUUCAGUCAGAAAAUGUACCCCGGUCUGGCAGCUGAUAAUCAUAAGUCUCGAAGUGUUGUUAGGUUGGGAAUAAUUUUUGCUCCUUCUUGGUGGAAUUUAAUUGUUAGGCCUCGGUGUAAAUGUCUGUGUUUGGGUAACUCUUCUGGAGUAUUUUAGCCAGUUUUCCAUAUCUGCAGUCAAAGCUUGAGAACCUUCCUGAGAGUUUUCGGCUGAAAUGGUAUUAUCAGACUUCCAAUCUCUCUCCUCCGAUUCACGAUAUAUGUGGAUAUGGCAGAAUGUUCUUCCUCUUGAAUUGCAAUCUUUCUGGCCAUUAGAGUGUUAUAUUUGUAUCGAAUGUCAUAUUUGAGUUCGUCCAGUGCUUGUGUGAAUCUCAAAUUAAAGUUCAUGAUAUUCUCUGUCAUGCCUUGUCUUGUAUUCUGUAGUUUAUUUCGGGUUGACAUAACUAUACUCGAAGCAGUGACAGUGUGUCUGAGUACAUCAUAUACCUGGUCAUAGUUUUUUCUGCGGAGAUAACGUAUUGUUCUUUCGGCAUGGUCGGUUAUUUUCCCAACUAUUACACUGUUUGAUAAAAAUUUUGCCUUUCAAUAACUGCUGGAUAAUCCUUCUAGAAUCAUACUCCCUGAAAUAAGAAUCUAGGAGACAAAUUGCUGUAUCAACCCUAGUUUUCGAAAAAUACGAGCAUUUGUAAAAACCCAGAAUUCUCGACAAGAAUAUGGUAUUGCAUGAAGAGUAAAAAUAUUAGAAAAUUCAAAUUGGUUUUGAAAGAUGGAGGAGAAUUUCCCGAAUAUGGUGGCAUACAAUUUAUUAAUUGUUUCUGGUUCUAUAUAGUUAUAAAUGCAUGUCAAAGUUUAAAAAAGUGCCGACAUGCGUAGUUCCUCUGCAAUAAUUUUGUAUUUCUACGCAUAGUUAUUUGUCUAGCACGAAAAUUCUACCCUAGAUUGGAUUCUGUAAACAUUUCUAAAGAAGAAACUGUCCGAUAGAAAUGUCGGGCAGGCCGAAAAAUCGCCGGCAUCGCGCGCACGACGUUUUGCCGCCAUGCUCGUAGCUAUGCGUAAUCAACACUGAUAGAGGAAUUUAAUGUACAUCCACUUUCUAACGUUUUUACUUUUCAUGCAUACAUUAUUUUUGCCGAAAAUUCUGGGUUUUUACAAAAGUUCUUGUUUUUCGAAAUCUGGUGAUAAUACAGCAAUUCGGCUUCCGAAUUCUUGUUCGGGGAGUGAAGUUCCACAAGAAUCACCCAGUGAUUAUUGGAAGACAGCAAAAAGAUUCGUUUUCUGCCAAUAGAUCGGUAAGAAAUUAAGCAUAAGCAAUGUUCAAAGUAAUGUGGCUGGAUGACCAUAUGUGGAUAAAAACCUGGGCUUUAUAAAACUGAUAGAUGUUAUUGCAGCAUAGAUACUGAUAAGGUAGUCAUUUGAUAAUUAAUGCGCCUUCUGCAUUACUAGGUGGAUCUCCUGUGAUAUUAUCACUCUAUUUUGUCUUUGUACACGUCACCAAUUGUUCCUACUAUCUAUUUUCCUUAUAAUUAUGCUAGUAAGAACAGGAAACAUUUUUCUUCCUCUGGGUUAUUGGACCUAGGAUAGAAAGAUAAUUUGUACAGAAGGUUAUGUCAAGGUUUAUUUAAUAGAUUUAAGGUAAAUGUGUCAAAAAAGUGAUUGGACGAUUAAGGAAAGAAUUUCUAUUCUAAGUCACUUAUUAGACUAAUAAGUUUUACAUUUAUAUGUGGAUAGGUUUAUCUGGAUGGGUAGAUUGUCUAUUUUUCGAAAUACAUGUCAAAAGAAACCUUUCUAUGGAA